This 3365-nucleotide long non-coding RNA is filed under the name Gossypium barbadense (sea-island cotton). RNAcentral describes it as "long non-coding RNA (GBAR_LNC018165)". The record is from RNAcentral. Lineage: Eukaryota; Viridiplantae; Streptophyta; Magnoliopsida; Malvales; Malvaceae.
GAAUUUUGGAAUCAGAGCAUAGAGGAAAAAGGUAAAGAGUUACUGACCCAUCUCUUGUGCUUUGCUCUUUUCUCUUUUCAAUCUUAAUAUUUUUUAUUCAACUAGUUCAUCAAUUUCUGAUAUUUAAAUGAGGUUGUUUUCAUAGAGUUGAAGUGAAUUAUAAUAGGAUACGAUGAUGGGAAGGAGGUGGCUCGUGCGUUCUCGAGCGCUGUGUUUUUGAGGUUAGGAUGCCUAAGCUAUUCUUUAAUUUGCUUCAAUUGAUACCCUGCUAAUGCCCAAUAAUCAUGUUACUUGUAUUAUUCUAUUGAUGGCAUUAAAUAAUUUUCUAAUUUUCUAAUUAUUAGGCCUGCUACAGGGUUUUGGGUUGAUGGGUUAAUUCCAUUCCCAAAUUACCUUUUGCUUAGCUAAGGAGAUGGGACCAAACCCACAAAGUUUAAUUAUAAUUAUGGCUACAUCAGUUAAUGCCUUGUGAGGUCUGAGAACUACUCUAAAUGGUAGGUAGAUUAUUUUAAUAGUAGCAUAUUAUUAGAACAAAAGCUUUUCUAAUUCUAAAUUUUAGUUGGUUCCUGUCAGUCCAAAUACUGGGUUUGGUGAGGGGUUUUUUCUCCUUUUUGUAUAUGUAGUAGUUGGCUUUUCCAUGUAUUGUUUUGAUAUUAUUCUGAUUCUUAUAAUAUUGCCUGAUGAAAUGUCAGUUUCUUCCUUGUGAUGUAUCUUUCAAAUUGAAGAAAUUGGAAGGUACAUGCAUGUGAAAACUGCACUCUUUUUACCAACACCCAUUUUCUAAGUAAGAUCUCGAGUUUGAAUUGAGAUCGGUGUCUUUUGGAUAUAUAUAUAAAAAAAAAAACUCAAGGCAUAUUGUGUUGAAUGGUAUAGGAAAGGGGAAUUUAGCCUUGAGAGGGGAGGCACUGAUGGUCCCCUCCUUUUGAGGUUUUAGAUUAGGACGGUAUCCCCCAUUUUAUGGACAUAAUCUGUUUCACACUGGGUAGGUUGGUGGGUGGGGGAAAUUGUCUUUUACUUCCAAUAGUUUACGAAAGGAAGAGCAAUGGGUUGGAAAUUUCCUGCACAAGCUUAUGAAGGACUUUUUUCUUUUUUAACUUGAAUUGAUGACAACAUUGAAAGCUUGGAAAAUACCUUUUUCUUGAAUGGAAUUAUUAAGUUCUAUUAUUAGCCUAUAAUGUAUUAUAUAAUCUCUUCAAAAUUCUAUUCGUCUGUCAGCUCAUUCGCCGAAGCUUCAAAAUUAAAUGAACUCCCUUGUCUAACAAAAUUUUACCCCCUUCUUUUUUGUACCAUGAACCUUUUAUUCUUAUCCUGCCUACAUGUAUUUACUGUUGCUACACUUGUCGUUUCUUUGCCUCAUGCAGGGUUCUUUUGGAUGUUUAGUUUUUUUUUGACUCACGCUUUAGUAUCUAAUCUUAUUAUUAUUGUUGUUUUUACACUGACCACAAAUAAAUACAUUAUCCAUAUAAAUGCAAUUUGAUGAUAAUAAUAAGCAAUUCAUCUUGACUAUUUAUAUUGUUUUGCUUUGUGUUAUAAAAAACUCCAAAAUCAAUCAUUGGUUCUGAAAAUUAUUACUCUUAUCAUCUUAAGCCUCUAAUUCUCUGUAAUACUAUGAAAUUUCAGAAUAAAGAAGGUGUUUUUCCCUGAGAUGAAAAAAAUUGGGUCAUUACUAGUUGCAAUUUACUUUGUAAAAGCUUAAAAGACAAAUCAGGGUUUUUUUUUUAGUUUCACUAGAAAUGCACUUAGUGCUAUCGGUCCCAAUUCCCAAAAAAGAAAAAAGGGCAGUUAGAUAAUUAUAUAAUAAUUAAUGGUAAGAAUUGAAGUUUUGGUAUAAAUUCAUAUACUAAUAUUUGAAGUCGAAAGUCGAUAUCUAUGGUGUAUUGUACUAUCUCAAAAUCUUUUGCCAAAAUUGAAGUUUUGGUAUGAAUUUUUAUACUUAUAAUAUGUAGUAGGUUUAUUCAUUAGCUUCAAUAAUUAGAUAUUUACUUAUAAUAUGUAGUAGGUUUAUUCAUUAGCUUCAAUAAUUAGAUAUCAUAGUUCUUUCUUUUGGGUUAUAUAAAAAGAGCACAUGUUUACAGCAUGCUUCCAUAAACUAAACACCCUAUAUUAAAAGAUUACAAAAAUAAGGUUUCCAAUGUGUUAAUUAACAAAAACAAGAAGAAUAUAACACAAAAGUGAUAAGCUACGAUAGUCAACUUUAUGGGGAUAAAAAGAAAAACAGUAGAAGCAUAGAAUAAACGAUACUUUUAGUUAUAUUUAUAAAUUUUCUUUGUAUUCUUCUGUGCCAUUUCAUGUAAUUUUUUUUAACUGGUGCCUGUUUACUGUUAGUAGUAAUGAUUAAUUCUGCUAUUAAUUCUGCUACUGUGAAAAUUCUUCACAAAGGUAAAUGAUAAAUUACAAAAAGUACUUUAUUUUUGUGAAUGGGACUGAAUUUUGAUUUUUUUAUUAGGUGAGUGAUGUUAGUAAAGAGCCCUCUAGCAGGUUCCUGAAGAAAAAUCAAUAGCCGUCUGCUUGUAUUACAGAGCACCAACCCACAUUUCCGUUGUUCUCCACAAUCCAGUACUGCACCUGUCUCUAACACCUCCUCCUAGAGCGACUCUAUCCUUAUUAUUCCUAGUAGCUUCGUACAUAUUGACUUUAACCCUUAUUAUUCCUAGUAGCUUCGUACAUAUUGACUUUAACCCGACCACUAUUCGCAGUCUGGUAUUAUUGUAAAUACGGACAAUAAUAAUAUGUCGAGUGUAAUUGAGUGAUGAUAAAAUAUUCUUAUUAGUAUAAGAUAUCAAGUCACGUAUUAGAGUGUAUUGGUAGAACAGUGUGCUAAGUUGAUGUGCCGCUAGAGAAGGCUAAAAUUUGACACAACAUUCAUGCUUGUUUAAUGUAUAUGGUGGAUCCAAUGAUUCAUAUAUUUUAAAUUGAAAUAAAAUCUAUUUACUAAUUUUACUAGUAUUUAAUAAAAAUCUGCUAAAAUGUAAUUUAUAAAUUUUAAAAUAAUAAAAAAUUUUAUGUGUUGGCCUGAUGGUUAGGGUGUUACUGUUCUAGGUAUGGCCUGAAUUUGAGUUGUGCUAGUCGCGUUGUUGUUAGGGUUUUGCCAUUCCUAUAUCUCAUUCUUUUAUACAACUAAAAUUUUUUCGCUAGCAUCAAGAGAAUUUUGAAACUAUGUUUAAAUGUCCUAUUUCAUUCGUUCCGACUGAGUGAAUAUAGUAAAGUUGUGGUUGCGACUUGUUUGUGCGUUGAAAAUACUCUAUCAGACUCGAUCUUGUCUAUUCAUAUGGGAACAUUUUCGCACGUAAUAAAUUCGUAGUGUGGGAUUGAAAAUCCAACAGAAGUGUCCAUUGCUAUCAUGCUGAACAAGGUUAAAGCUCCUA